CGCACGGUGGAUGCCUUGACACUAGGAGUCGAUGAAGGACGGGACUAACGCCGAUAUGCUUCGGGGAGCUGUAAGUAAGCUUUGAUCCGAAGAUUUCCGAAUGGGGAAACCCACCAUACGUAAUGGUAUGGUAUCCUUAUCUGAAUACAUAGGGUAAGGAAGACAGACCCAGGGAACUGAAACAUCUAAGUACCUGGAGGAAGAGAAAGCAAAUGCGAUUUCCUGAGUAGCGGCGAGCGAAACGGAACAUAGCCCAAACCAAGAGGCUUGCCUCUUGGGGUUGUAGGACAUUCUAUACGGAGUUACAAAGGAACGAGGUAGACGAAGCGACCUGGAAAGGUCCGUCGUAGAGGGUAACAACCCCGUAGUCGAAACUUCGUUCUCUCUUGAAUGUAUCCUGAGUACGGCGGAACACGUGAAAUUCCGUCGGAAUCUGGGAGGACCAUCUCCCAAGGCUAAAUACUCCCUAGUGAUCGAUAGUGAACCAGUACCGUGAGGGAAAGGUGAAAAGCACCCCGGAAGGGGAGUGAAAGAGAUCCUGAAACCGUGUGCCUACAAAUAGUCAGAGCCCGUUAACGGGUGAUGGCGUGCCUUUUGUAGAAUGAACCGGCGAGUUACGAUCCCGUGCGAGGUUAAGCUGAAGAGGCGGAGCCGCAGCGAAAGCGAGUCUGAAUAGGGCGUUUAGUACGUGGUCGUAGACCCGAAACCAGGUGAUCUACCCAUGUCCAGGGUGAAGUUCAGGUAACACUGAAUGGAGGCCCGAACCCACGCACGUUGAAAAGUGCGGGGAUGAGGUGUGGGUAGCGGAGAAAUUCCAAUCGAACCUGGAGAUAGCUGGUUCUCCCCGAAAUAGCUUUAGGGCUAGCCUUAAGUGUAAGAGUCUUGGAGGUAGAGCACUGAUUGGACUAGGGGUCCUCAUCGGAUUACCGAAUUCAGUCAAACUCCGAAUGCCAAUGACUUAUCCUUAGGAGUCAGACUGCGAGUGAUAAGAUCCGUAGUCAAAAGGGAAACAGCCCAGACCGCCAGCUAAGGUCCCAAAGUGUGUAUUAAGUGGAAAAGGAUGUGGAGUUGCUUAGACAACUAGGAUGUUGGCUUAGAAGCAGCCACCAUUUAAAGAGUGCGUAAUAGCUCACUAGUCGAGUGACUCUGCGCCGAAAAUGUACCGGGGCUAAAUACACCACCGAAGCUGCGGAUUGAUACCGAAUGGUAUCAGUGGUAGGGGAGCGUUCUAAGGACAGUGAAGUCAGACCGUAAGGACUGGUGGAGUGCUUAGAAGUGAGAAUGCCGGUAUGAGUAGCGAAAGACGGGUGAGAAUCCCGUCCACCGAAUGCCUAAGGUUUCCUGAGGAAGGCUCGUCCGCUCAGGGUUAGUCAGGACCUAAGCCGAGGCCGACAGGCGUAGGCGAUGGACAACAGGUUGAUAUUCCUGUACCACCUCUUUAUCGUUUGAGCAAUGGAGGGACGCAGAAGGAUAGAAGAAGCGUGCGAUUGGUUGUGCACGUCCAAGCAGUUAGGCUGAUAAGUAGGCAAAUCCGCUUAUCAUAAAGGCUGAGCUGUGAUGGGGAAGCUCCUUAUGGAGCGAAGUCUUUGAUUCCCCGCUGCCAAGAAAAGCUUCUAGCGAGAUAAAAGGUGCCUGUACCGCAAACCGACACAGGUAGGCGAGGAGAGAAUCCUAAGGUGUGCGAGAGAACUCUGGUUAAGGAACUCGGCAAAAUGACCCCGUAACUUCGGGAGAAGGGGUGCUUUCUUAACGGAAAGCCGCAGUGUAAUAGGCCCAAGCGACUGUUUAGCAAAAACACAGCUCUCUGCGAAGCCGUAAGGCGAAGUAUAGGGGGUGACACCUGCCCGGUGCUGGAAGGUUAAGGAGAGGGGUUAGCGUAAGCGAAGCUCUGAACUGAAGCCCCAGUAAACGGCGGCCGUAACAAUAACGGUCCUAAGGUAGCGAAAUUCCUUGUCGGGUAAGUUCCGACCCGCACGAAAGGUGUAACGAUUUGGGCACUGUCUCAACCAGAGACUCGGUGAAAUUAUAGUACCUGUGAAGAUGCAGGUUACCCGCGACAGGACGGAAAGACCCCGUGGAGCUUUACUGUAGCCUGAUAUUGAAUUUUGGUACAGUUUGUACAGGAUAGGCGGGAGCCAUUGAAACCGGAGCGCUAGCUUCGGUGGAGGCGCUGGUGGGAUACCGCCCUGACUGUAUUGAAAUUCUAACCUACGGGUCUUAUCGACCCGGGAGACAGUGUCAGGUGGGCAGUUUGACUGGGGCGGUCGCCUCCUAAAGUGUAACGGAGGCGCCCAAAGGUUCCCUCAGAAUGGUUGGAAAUCAUUCGUAGAGUGCAAAGGCAUAAGGGAGCUUGACUGCGAGACCUACAAGUCGAGCAGGGACGAAAGUCGGGCUUAGUGAUCCGGUGGUUCCGCAUGGAAGGGCCAUCGCUCAACGGAUAAAAGCUACCCCGGGGAUAACAGGCUUAUCUCCCCCAAGAGUCCACAUCGACGGGGAGGUUUGGCACCUCGAUGUCGGCUCAUCGCAUCCUGGGGCUGUAGUCGGUCCCAAGGGUUGGGCUGUUCGCCCAUUAAAGCGGUACGCGAGCUGGGUUCAGAACGUCGUGAGACAGUUCGGUCCCUAUCCGUCGUGGGCGUAGGAAAUUUGAGAGGAGCUGUCCUUAGUACGAGAGGACCGGGAUGGACGCACCGCUGGUGUACCAGUUGUUCUGCCAAGGGCAUAGCUGGGUAGCUAUGUGCGGAAGGGAUAAGUGCUGAAAGCAUCUAAGCAUGAAGCCCCCCUCAAGAUGAGAUUUCCCAUAGCGUAAGCUAGUAAGAUCCCUGAAAGAUGAUCAGGUUGAUAGGUUCGAGGUGGAAGCAUGGUGACAUGUGGAGCUGACGAAUACUAAUAGAUCGAGG
This 2897-nucleotide ribosomal RNA is filed under the name Bacillus cereus. RNAcentral describes it as "bacterial LSU rRNA". It matches the Rfam family "Bacterial large subunit ribosomal RNA". Lineage: Bacteria; Bacillati; Bacillota; Bacilli; Caryophanales; Bacillaceae. The record is from RNAcentral.